RNAcentral lists this ribosomal RNA (254 nucleotides) under uncultured bacterium. RNAcentral's name for it is "partial 16S ribosomal RNA". It matches the Rfam family "Bacterial small subunit ribosomal RNA", at positions 524 to 776 of the family's 1533-position model. The record is from RNAcentral.
UACGUAGGGUGCAAGCGUUGUCCGGAAUUAUUGGGCGUAAAGAGCUCGUAGGCGGUUUGUCGCGUCUGCUGUGAAAACCCGAGGCUCAACCUCGGGCCUGCAGUGGGUACGGGCAGACUAGAGUGCGGUAGGGGAGAUUGGAAUUCCUGGUGUAGCGGUGGAAUGCGCAGAUAUCAGGAGGAACACCGAUGGCGAAGGCAGAUCUCUGGGCCGUAACUGACGCUGAGGAGCGAAAAGCAUGGGGAGCGAACAGG